UAAUACGUAGGGUCCAAGCGUUAAUCGGAAUUACUGGGCGUAAAGGGUGCGCAGGUGGUUGUGCAAGCCAGAUGUGAAAUCCCCGGGCUUAACCUGGGAACUGCAUUUGGGACUGCACGGCUAGAGUGUGGCAGAGGGGGGUGGAAUUCCGCGUGUAGCAGUGAAAUGCGUAGAGAUGCGGAGGAACACCAAUGGCGAAGGCAACCCCCUGGGUUAACACUGACACUCAUGCACGAAAGCGUGGGGAGCAAACAGGAUUAGAUACCCUGGUAGUCCACGCCCUAAACGAUGUCUACUAGUUGUUGGAGCAGCAAUGCUUUAGUAACGCAGCUAACGCGUGAAGUAGACCGCCUGGGGAGUACGAUCGCAAGAUUA
This 375-nucleotide ribosomal RNA is filed under the name uncultured bacterium. Its description in RNAcentral is "bacterial SSU rRNA". It matches the Rfam family "Bacterial small subunit ribosomal RNA", at positions 521 to 896 of the family's 1533-position model. The record is from RNAcentral.